UCCUGGCUCAGGAUGAACGCUGGCGGCGUGCUUAACACACGCAAGUCGAACGAAGCGCUUACAUCUCUUCGUAGUGAUGAGUGACUGAGUGGCUGGACGGGUAGAGUAACGCGUGGGUAACCUGCCUGGUACAGGGGGACAACACUUGGAAACGACUGCUAAUACCGCAUAAGCGCACGGUAUCGCAUGAUACAGUGUGAAAAGCUGAGGCGGUACGAGAUGGACCCGCGUUGGAUUAGGUAGUUGGUGGGGUAACGGCCUACCAAGCCGACGAUCCAUAGCCGACCUGAGAGGGUGACCGGCCACAUUGGGACUGAGACCCGGCCCAAACUCCUUCGGGAGGCAGCAGUGGGGAAUAUUGCACAAUGGGCGAAAGCCUGAUGCAGCGACGCCGCGUGAACGAUGAAGUAUUUCGGUAUGUAAAGUUCUAUCAGCAGGGAAGAAAAUGACGGUACCUGACUAAGAAGCUCCGGCUAAAUACGUGCCAGCAGCCGCGGUAAUACGUAGGGGGCGAGCGUUGUCCGGAAUGUCUGGGCGUAAAGGGCGCGUAGGCGGCCUGAUAAGUUAGAGGUGAAAUUCCAGCUUUCAAGGUUGGAACUGCCUUUAAUACUGUUGGGCUUGAGUGCGGAAGAGGUAAGUGGAAUUCCCAGUGUAGCGGUGAAAUGCGUAGAGAUUGGGAGGAACCCCCGUGGCGAAGGCGACUUACUGGGCCGUAACUGACGGUGAGGCGUGAAAGCGUGGGGAGCCAACAAGAUUAGAUACCCUGGUAGUCCACGCGGUAAACGAUGAAUGCUAGGUGUAGGGGGUAUCGACCCCUCUUGUGCCGGAGUAAACACAAUAAGCAUUCCGCCUGGGGAGUACGGCCGCAAGGUUGAAACUCAAAGGAAUUGACGGGGGCCCGCACAAGCAGCGGAGCAUGUGGUUUAAUUCGACGCAAUGCGAAGAACCUUACCAGGUCUUGACAUCGAUGUAAACCCCAAGAAAUUGGGAGUGGUUUCGGCCGACAGAAGACAGGUGGUGCAUGGUUGUUGUCAGCUUGUGUUGUGAGAUGGUGGGUUAAGUCCCGCCACGAGCGCCACCCUUAUUGUCAGUUACUAACGGGUAAAGCCGAGGACUCUGACAAGACUGCCAGGGAUAACCUGGAGGAAGGUGGGGAUGACGUCAAAUCAUCAUGCCCCUUAUGACUUGGGCUACACACGUGCUACAAUGGCGUAAACAAAGGGAAGCAAACCUGCGAGGGCGAGCAAAUCUCAAAAAUAACGUCCCAGUUCGGACUGCAGUCUGCAACUCGACUGCACGAAGCUGGAAUCGCUAGUAAUCGCGAAUCAGAAUGUCGCGGUGAAUACGUUCCCGGGUCUUGCACACACCGCCCGUCA
RNAcentral lists this ribosomal RNA (1376 nucleotides) under uncultured bacterium. Its description in RNAcentral is "16S ribosomal RNA". It matches the Rfam family "Bacterial small subunit ribosomal RNA". The record is from RNAcentral.